AGCAUGUGGGUAGUUUUAAGCCACUCGGUGGUGACUGAAAAACCCGAGUGGUAGCGUGGGGACUCGAACCCGCGUCGUCCAUCACGCGGUGAAUGUGGGCCCAGUACGCUACCAGUUCGGCCACCGCCUACCCAAUGGAGUAUGCAUCCCACGUGUGGGGGGGUCCACUCACACAGCUCUUCUGGACAGAGUGGAGUCUAAGGCUCUUCAUCUCAUCAGCUCUCCUCCUCCUACUGAUAGCCUUCUACCUCUUAAAUUCCGCCGCGAUGUUGCCUCUCUAUCUUCUAUCGAUAUUUCCACGCUGACUGCUCUUCUGAACUUGCUAACUGCAUGCCUCCCCCCCUCCCGCGGCCCCGCUGCACACGACUUUCUACUCAUGCUCAUCCCUACAUUGUCCAAACCCCUUAUGCAAGAGUUAACCAGCAUCUUCACUCUUUCAUCCCUCACGCUGGUAAACUCUGGAACAUUCCAAUCUUCCUUCAUCAGUAUUUCCUCCUGCCUACGACUUGAACUCUUCUAGAGGAGGGUAUCAGGACACCUCUCCUCUCGAAAUUGAUCUUUCUUUCGGCCACCUCUUUUAAUUAUUUUUUGGGAGCAGCGAGUAGUGGUUUUUUUUUUAUUGUUUUCUUUUUUUGUGUGCCCUUGAGCUGCCUCCUUUGUUGUAAAAAAAACCCACCAUGUCUCCCUGUUCAGUCACUUCCUCUCAGUACACACAUUCUCUCAUCUACCAACUAUUUUUUUCCAUUAAUCAUCUGCUCUAUUGAUCCAUUUCACAAGUGGUCUCCCCCUCUCCUCAGUCCUGCUCUGUAAAGUCUCUUCACAAACUCAUACUUAUUCGUCAUGUGGCCAACCAUCUCAAAGCACCAUGCUUCACAACUCACUGCUUUUGGUGUCACACCUUUACCAAACCUUUUCAUUCAUGCUCUAAUGCCUUCUCCAUCCCACCUCAACACACAAAAUGCAUCUCGCAUUGCUCAUUUCUACUAGUACACACAUUAGUGAUCGGCACGCUACACCACUCAUCCACACCUCUGAUGCAUGAGACAGUUGGGGGGUUAACAGUUUUCUAUAUUACCCUUUUCACAACCAUUAGGGUUUAUUAUGCACAUAGGGCUACCACACCAGUCCUACCAGUCAUCCACACUAUCAUCAAUCCAUUCCAUCCAUUUUCAUCUAUACUCUUGAGGAGACCAAUAAUGCGCCCCCUUCCUUUCCUAUUCCCUUUUCAUCUGCUGCCAUACCAGUCCUUUUCUCUCCGCAUGCCUACAAACUAUUUUUGUCAUUAUUUGAACAAGUCUGUGCACCACACCAUUUCUGGGUUUCACUAAUACCUAGAAAUACCUUUCCUCUCCUGAAUGCUUCUAUAACUUAUUCUCCUUUUUCGUUCUUCAGCCAGUUCAUUUAAAUUCACACAUGCAACAAUAAGGACCUUGCCCUCCUCCCCUUCCUGGGGAGAAUGGAGACCCAGCUCUGCUUGGCAUUUUCUAUCACCCCCACCAGGGGCCACGGGCAGCUAGCAGGACUAGUGCAGUGUUAAUUCCUAAAGGAAAAUGAGUCAUCAGAUCACUGAGAAACUAUAGGCACCAUUUUCAAAGUCAAUACACUAAUAUAAAUGUGAUAUGUAAAAUAAAAUAAAAACUGGAAUACUCAUUAAACAAAGCACUUACAGUACCUGACCUCUGCAAAGAAAAAAAAAGUUAUUAAAGAUAAAUUACAUAAAUUAGAAGUAAAUAAAAGAUACUGAUGAGAUCACGUCUUCAUGAAGGCAAAGUAGGAUUUUACUACUACAUAUAAGCAAAUCAUAUGAUAGCCCCAGAGGCGCAGUUAGUUCUCAACAAUAUAAACUUGCUACAAACUGUGCCACAACCCUUAUAUGUACACACAAAAAUCUCAGCCUCGUUGGUUAUGAUAACAGGAAAGAGCCCUGGCAAUUAUGGCAUAGAAGCAGAAUUACCGAAAUAUAAUUAUGCCGUGGAAUGGAUGCCGUAGAUAUGAAAUCUGGCAUAGGAGCAUGGUGAGGUCAGAAGACUGAAGAAAGGCUAUCAUAUUGAGCUACUGAACAGAAGAAAAGGAAGUAAGGAUGAUUAAGCUAUAGAGGAGUCUGUGAAGAAAGGUGUAUGUGUUUGAGAAGAUAAUGAUGCAAAACAACUGAUGACAGUGCAGAUGAACAAGGGGGGUUGAAAAUGGGAGGGAUGUGAAACAAAUUUUAUGACUGAAAAGGACUCCAGAAGUAACUGAGAAGGAUAGGAAGUUGUUUGCUGCUUUAAUGGAACUGGAGAAGGCCUCUGACAUGGUUGACAGUUAGGGAUGUCCUGAGGGUAGGUAUAUGGUGUAGUAGGAUAUAUACUUGGAGAAGGUAUGUUUACAUGAAUGCAAGUGCCUUUGUGCAUGUGAAUAGGUACCUAAGUGAGAAAUUUGAUGUUGGUGUCAGUGCAAGAUAUCAUGGCUGUUAAAUAAUUAUAUGGAUGAUGGGAGAUAGGCGGCAUGUCUCUUUUGCAGAUGAUACAGUCACGGAUGCAGAAAAUGAGAAGACAAUGCUGAGGAUUGUUGAUGAAUUUGACUGUGGAGAUGAAAGUAAAUGUUAGCAAGAGAAAGGUUAUGAUAUCUGAGAAGACAAGAAAGUUGAAUAAUGAUUUAGCAAAGUCAUACAGAGUUGAGACAGAGAGCACAACAGAGUCUAAGAUGUGGUUUGGGGAAGAGAAAAUAAAAGUAGUGAUUGCAAUAUGGGAGAAGUUCUCAUUUAGGCAGUGUUCACACCAUCCACAGGUUCGUUGAUUACUUUGACAAAAAAGUUACAUAAAUUAACAUUCAUGAGUGUCAAGACUCCUGUGAUGUGACUACUGACCAACUAACUGAGAAGUGUUAUGGUAUUGCAGGAAAACAAAUACACUGGAGAAAGUACAAGAAAUUGGCAGGACUUUCAAAGCUGCAAACAUGUGAUCCAAGUAUUUAGAAGGCAAGGCAGCUAUUACUUCUGAAAUGCAGGUACACACAGUGCAUGCACGGGGCAGUAUUCGUGGGUCGCGUCCAUCGGUCUCCUGUGCGGGGUGUUUGACGACGCACCACAUGAGAAGAACCGUCGAAGAUGAUGACUGAACAUUCCACUGCACCACCACACGCUGGCCUCAUCGCCGAGAACCUCGUCCAUCAACGCAACACUUAUCCACGGACACAAAGUCAUGAUCCACCCUUUCCACAAUGCACUAUGAAUUUUGUCCAUUUCAGUUCAUCUUCAAAACAUAAACUAACUUUACAAUCUCAAAACUGUUCAUCCCUGAAUACAAAACGUCGUGGCACCCAAAAUGAGA
This is a long non-coding RNA of Eriocheir sinensis (Chinese mitten crab), 3308 nucleotides long. RefSeq lists it as uncharacterized. The transcript has 2 exons. The record is from RefSeq and is a predicted model, not a curated record. NCBI's taxonomy places the organism in Eukaryota, Metazoa, Arthropoda, Malacostraca, Decapoda, Varunidae.